AGCAGUCGCCGCGGUAAAACGUAGGGUGCGAGCGUUAAUCGGAAUUACUGGGCGUAAAGCGUGCGCAGGCGGUUCGUUAAGACUGAUGUGAAAUCCCCGGGCUUAACCUGGGAACUGCAUUUGUGACUGGCGAGCUAGAGUAUGGCAGAGGGGGGUAGAAUUCCACGUGUAGCAGUGAAAUGCGUAGAGAUGUGGAGGAACACCAGUGGCGAAGGCGGCCAUCUGGGACAACACUGACGCUGAGGCACGAAAGCGUGGGGAGCAAACAGGAUUAGAUACCCCAGUAGUCCCUGUCUCUUAUAC
This 303-nucleotide ribosomal RNA is filed under the name uncultured bacterium. RNAcentral describes it as "partial 16S ribosomal RNA". It matches the Rfam family "Bacterial small subunit ribosomal RNA", at positions 507 to 807 of the family's 1533-position model. The record is from RNAcentral.